AUGGUUCCUGCUCUUCCAACACACAUUGCCACUGUCUCCCUUCUCUCCUUUUUCACGUUAGUCUCGAGCGCUGCGAAUCGAGACAUACUGCGACCGGGAACCUCCCUCGCCGUUGAAGCCUACCAAAGUGAAAUCCUGCAAUCACCGGAUGGCAGCUUCUCCUGUGGCUUCUACGGCGUCUACGGCAACGCCUUCACCUUCUCAAUAUGGUACUCCAAGGCAGCCAACAAGACCGUCGUCUGGAGUGCGAACCGCGACCGCCCCGUCCACUCCAGGAGGUCAGCCCUGACCUUGCACAAGGAUGGCAACAUGGUCCUCACAGAUUACGAUGACGCGGUUGUGUGGCAAGCUGAUGAUGAUGGCAACUCCCGCAGAAAUGUUCAGCAUGUUCAGCUGCUGGACACUGGGAAUCUCGUAAUGAAGAACACCAGCGGCAGGAUAAUAUGGCAAAGUUUCGAUUCACCGACAGACACGCUCCUACCAGCCCAGCGCAUCAUGGCUGCGACAAACUUGGUCCCAACAACCCAGUCGCAUGCUCCUGGUAACUACAUCUUCCGUUUCAAUGAUAUAUCAGUGCUGUCACUUAUAUACGAUGUUCCCGAGGUUUCGGAUAUAUACUGGCCAAACCCUGAUAACAGUGUGUACGAAAAUAACAGAAGCCGGUAUAACAGUACUAGAUUGGCAAUUCUAGACAAUAAUGGGAUCCUUGCAUCUAGUGAUUUUGCUGAUGGAGUGCUACUUAAGGCCUCUGAUGCAGCGCCGGGGAUUAGGAGAAGGCUAACUCUUGAUCCUGAUGGUAAUCUCCGGCUGUACAGCCUGAACGACUCAGAUGGGAUGUGGUCAGUUUCAAUGGUAGCAAUCUCCCAACCUUGUACUAUCCAUGGUAUAUGCGGUCAGAAUGGAAUCUGUCAUUACUCGCCUGAACCAACGUGUUCAUGCCCACCGGGUUAUGUGAUGACCAACCCGGGUAACUGGACCCAAGGCUGCACGGCUAGUUUCAACAUACCAUGUCAUGAUCAGGAACCUAUGAAGUUUGUGAAACUCCCGCACACGGAUUUCUGGGGAUCUGAUCAGAAGCGCCUUCUGGGAGUUUCCUUUGAGACUUGUAGGAACAGUUGCAUCAGUGACUGCACCUGCAAAGGCUUUCAAUACCAGCAAGGUGCAGGGUCAUGCUACCCGAAAGCUCUUCUUUUCAAUGGAAAGAGCUGUGCGACACCCAGCGUGCGAACAAUAUAUCUCAAACUUCCUGCCAGGUUGAAUGUUUCAGAUACACCUAUUCCUCAGUCCAAUGUAUUGGAUCCUGCGCCUCCUCGUCUCGACUGCAAUCAGAUGAGCAGAGGAAUCAGAUAUCCAUUUCCAGAUUUGCACAAAACUGGAGAUGAAGAAUUAAAUUGGUUGUACUUCUACAGUUUCAUAGUUGCAAUUUUUGUUUUUGAGGCUUCUUUCAUAACAUUCGCAUGGUUCUUUGUCUUGAGAAGAGAGAUGAGGCCAUCAGAAAUGUGGGCUGCUGAGGAAGGUUACAGGGUGAUGACUAGCCAUUUUCGAAGAUACAGUUACAGAGAGCUUGUUGAGGCAACAAGAAAGUUCAGAGUUGAGCUAGGAAGGGGAAGCUCAGGCACUGUGUAUAAAGGUGUCCUAGAAGAUGAAAGGCCAGUGGCUGUGAAGAAGCUGGAAAAUGUAAGUCGAGGCAAGGAAGAGUUUCAAGCUGAGCUGAGCGUAAUUGGGAGGAUCUACCACAUGAAUUUGGCCAGAAUAUGGGGGUUUUGCUCAGAAGGGUCACACAGGCUGUUGGUUUGUGAGUACGUGGAGAAUGGAUCCCUGGCAAACAUUUUGUUCAAGGACCAAAAAACUGUCGUGCUGGACUGGAAGCAAAGGUUUAAUAUCGCAUUGGGUGUCGCGAAAGGAUUGGCCUAUCUUCACCAUGAGUGCUUAGAAUGGGUCAUCCAUUGUGAUGUGAAACCUGAGAAUAUAUUGUUGGACACAAACUUUGAGCCUAAGAUCACUGACUUUGGGUUGGCAAAGUUGCUAAACAGAGGCGGAGCCACACAGAACAUGUCACAGGUGCGAGGAACGAUAGGUUACAUAGCUCCUGAGUGGGUUUCAAGCCUCCCAAUCACGGCGAAAGUCGAUGUUUAUAGUUACGGAGUUGUUUUGCUUGAGCUUUUAUCUGGGACAAGAGUUUCAGAGCUGGCCGUAGGUUCAGGUGCAGAGGUGCAUAGCAUGCUGCAGAAGCUUGUCAGGGUGCUUGCUGAUAAACUGGGAGGACAUAAAGAAUCAUCGAUUAAUGAAUUUGUUGACCCUGAAUUGGGUGGACGAUUCAGCUAUGUCCAAGCAAGAACAAUGCUCAAGUUGGCUGUUUCCUGCUUGCAGGAAGAUAGAAACAAGAGGCCAACCAUGGAAUCUGUAGUCCAGACUCUCCUGCCGUUUGACGAAGCUAGUAGUUAG
This 2445-nucleotide ribosomal RNA is filed under the name Triticum aestivum (bread wheat). Its description in RNAcentral is "partial small subunit ribosomal RNA". The record is from RNAcentral. Lineage: Eukaryota; Viridiplantae; Streptophyta; Magnoliopsida; Poales; Poaceae.